RNAcentral lists this unclassified non-coding RNA (719 nucleotides) under Hevea brasiliensis (rubber tree). The record is from RNAcentral. Lineage: Eukaryota; Viridiplantae; Streptophyta; Magnoliopsida; Malpighiales; Euphorbiaceae.
CUUCUUGAGAUCAACCUCAUCAAAUUUAUCACCGGAGUACUCUUUCUUCACCAGGGACCCAGUAACAAGUUCCAGCUUUCCGCUUCGUAUUUACAGUGUUGCCCUGAUAUUGAUCAGUGGAUACUUUUCCUUUCGCGAUGUGAGAUCAAAGAAUUGGUUCUUGAAUUAGGAGAAGGAGAGUGGUUUAGGGUCCCUUCAUGUCUUUUCAAUUGUAAGAUGUUAACCUGUUUGGAGUUAGCCCGUUGCGAAUUUGAUCCACUCCUGGUUUUAAGGGAUUCUUAUGCUUGAAGAGUCUCAAUCUUUAUAAAAUUUUGGUUGCUCCUNUUUUGGUUGCUCCUGAGGCUAUUGAGAAUCUAAUUUCUGGUUGUCCUCUUCUUGAGAGUCUUUCAUUGUCAUGUUUUGAUAGUUUAGUUCUAAACAUCCGAGCUCCAAAUCUAAAGUAUUUGUGUUUGGAGGGUGAAUUCAAGGAUAUUGUCUUGAAAAUACCCCACUUUUGUUUCCAUGUCAUUUGCUAUGUACAUCACUGACGACAUUGCUGAACACUUCGAUCAAAGUUCAAGUUGCAAUUUUAUCAAGUUUCUUGUUGGCGUUCCUCGUCUUGAGAGGCUUAUUGGGCAUAUCUACUUAACAAUGGUAACAGCAUGUUUUCAUAAAUGAUUCCUUAAGCUGAUGUAGUUUUUCUUUGCUCCAAGGUUUUAACUGAUGAACUGGGAAGGGCC